Molecule: ribosomal RNA, 386 nt
Filed under: uncultured microorganism
Description: bacterial SSU rRNA
Rfam family: Archaeal small subunit ribosomal RNA
Source: RNAcentral
GCGCAGCAGGCGCGAAAACUUUACAAUGUGCGAAAGCACGAUAAGGGAACUCUGAGUGCCUCCUAAGGAGGCUGUUCAGGUGUCUAAAAAGCACCUGAAGGAAGGGCUGGGUAAGACCGGUGCCAGCCGCCGCGGUAACACCGGCAGCCCAAGUGGUAGCCACGUUUAUUGGGUCUAAAGCGUCCGUAGCCGGCUGGGUAAGUUCCUUGGGAAAUUUGGCUGCUUAACAGUCAAGCUUUCAGGGAAUACUGCCCGGCUUGGGACCGGGAGAGGUCAGAGGUACUCCAGGGGUAGGGGUGAAAUCCAUUAAUCCUUGGGGGACCACCGGUAGCGAAGGCGUCUGACCAGACCGGGUCCGACGGUGAGGGACGAAGGCUAGGGGCGCG